Molecule: long non-coding RNA, 1620 nt
Filed under: Otus sunia (Oriental scops-owl)
Lineage: Eukaryota; Metazoa; Chordata; Aves; Strigiformes; Strigidae
Description: lncRNA (ENSOSUG00000012489.1)
Source: RNAcentral
CCUGCUUCUCAUUUUAGGAAGUCUGGAGUUGUCCUGGAACCCUCGCCUAAGCAAACACAACUGCAGCCUGACAGUGGCUUAAAUCGCUUCUCACUGCACAGGAAUACUUGUCACAUAAGAGCAGCUAAAAUCUACAAUCUCUUCAGGAGGCACCCCACCAGAAACAGCAGCAAUACUACAGCUACGUGGAUAGCACGAUUAUUUUCCACUCUGUACAAGAAAACACAAAGCUGCUGAAAAGAAACACCUUUUAGUCACCUUCUCCCCAUUCAGUCUUACAGGCUACUGUGAAGUCAAGCAGCAAAAAAAAAACAAUAAUCAAAGCUGCCCAAAUUAGUCAUGUUUACACGAAUUUAACGCAUUUUCAGAAGCGUUGAUACAUCUGGUUGUGAAAUCAAAGGCAUCUUUCCCCAGCUGAUCCCCUGCUUAUUAAUGCAAAAUGAGGCAUUCCGAGUAUGCUGUUCUUUUCUAAAGAUCAGAAGAUUUAUGAGGUGAGUCAGACACAGCCCUUGCUCAUUUCGCACCUAAAAUUAUUUGGCAUGCCCCAAAUUUAAAUACGCAUAUCUCAGUUUCUCAUACGGAAAUUAAAGCAUCCUUACUUCAGAGGGAUGCUAUAAAUCUGUUUCUAAAAUGUGGACAUAGUAAUGCAGCGGCUGUCCCCUCAAAGACCCGAAGGAGAUGAGUAACUCUUCGCACAGAGGAAGGUUUCAGGUGCAUGCAGCACAUCACACGCGGCACCGCGCCCUGCACCUCAGGGAUGAAACCCCGCGCGGCCCAGCUUUAACCUGAAUAGCGCGGCAACGUCAAUCCCGCACCCCGGACGGGACAGAAGGUUUUCACAAACGGCGGUGAGGAAAUUGAAGCCAGCAGAGAGCAGGAGGAUGGCUGAACUGCAACACUCCCUCAGGCCCUCCCAGCACCUCAUUUUUUUGACUCGCGAGAACUUUUGCCGACCGGGUGCCGCAUCCCUCACGCUGCACGCCUCUCCUGCUUCAGGACUCCUCAACCGUUUUUCCUAGGCCUCUAAAUGGUAAAGUAAAACGCUCCCUAUAUAGCUCACUGAUAGCAGCCUUCAACGGGCACUUGGGCAAACUAAGUUAAGGGAAACUCGAACAAAAGGACACAGAGAUACAAUCCAGGGAGGAUGAUCUCGCCGAUUUAGGAAGAAGACACCUGGACUUAAGAGCGGACACCGUGAAGAAGACCACGUGCUUCUUCCCUCAACCACUGAAGACCCUCACUCUAUUUUUACUACGCAUGCUCAGACUAUGUAAAUGAAUUCUGGGAACUCGUAAGACACCCCUUUCCAGGAAAUCUAAUGUGUAUGAUUUGUGUGUAUGUAAACUGAUGUCCCUUGCUAGUUCAUGGGAGCCCUUAUGGUGGAGAAUCCUCAGGGCGACCCCAGCGCUGCUAAUAAAGAAUACCUGCUGAACAGUUCUGCUGGAUUCCGACUGUGCAGUGAAUUUCCUCGUCUCACCACUUAGACACGUUCUUCAAGAUGACAGCCACAGGUAUGCCCCACUGGCACUACAGAGAGCAGAGGUCUUGCAGGUUCCCCACACACUGACCCCGAGGCACCCCUGGGCAGGCGCUAUCCUGGAGUAUGCCUGCCAUUUCCUG